GCUGAGACCCCCUCCCCCUCUUCCUCCUCAUCAGUCGUGGUCUCCAGAGCCCAGGGACGUGACGUGUUGCUUGAUUGGUGGUUGAGCUCAUACUAUGUAGGAAUGUGGAGUGGGGAGCAGAGAGAUCUGUUCUCUGGGGAGGAGGAGAGAUGACCUGAGAGAUAAGACACAGAGGGGAUGACUGAGGACCUCUCUGAAGACACUUAUACAGACGUCCUUAACUCAAACGUCCUCAGGGUAGGGACGGAGGACUGUGUCCACAUGAAGACAUAAUGAGGCCAUUCUACGAGUCUGACGAAAUCACACAUGAGUGAAUGUUCCAAAGUUUCUUGGCCUCCUCACAAAACAGGUUUUAUUUCUGACCUUGUCCCAUGCGGGCUCCGGUCAGAGCCUCCUUGGCGCUUCCAAAGCCGAGCUCCCUGCAGACG
Non-coding RNA from Paralichthys olivaceus (Japanese flounder), 428 nucleotides. The record is from RefSeq and is a predicted model, not a curated record. NCBI's taxonomy places the organism in Eukaryota, Metazoa, Chordata, Actinopteri, Pleuronectiformes, Paralichthyidae.